RNAcentral lists this ribosomal RNA (118 nucleotides) under Pteropus alecto (black flying fox). The record is from RNAcentral. Lineage: Eukaryota; Metazoa; Chordata; Mammalia; Chiroptera; Pteropodidae.
GUCUACGGCCAUGCUACCCUGAACAAGCCUGAUCCUGUCUGAUCUCGGAAGCUAAGCAGGAUCAGGCCUGGUUAGUACUUCAUGGGAGAUCACCUAGGAAGACCAGGUAUUGUAGGCA